CAUGUCAUCCCUGCACGGCAGUUGUGGCUGCUGUGUCACGUGUGUGUCAGUAGACGGCAGAGAGGAGGGAAGCUAUGUCUGUGCUCAGUGUUCAGACCUGUGAACAUCUGAAUGAUUAGUAGUAGCCCUAA
Small nucleolar RNA from Apodemus sylvaticus (European woodmouse), 131 nucleotides. RefSeq annotates it as small nucleolar RNA SNORA17. The record is from RefSeq and is a predicted model, not a curated record. The transcript has a single exon. NCBI's taxonomy places the organism in Eukaryota, Metazoa, Chordata, Mammalia, Rodentia, Muridae.